GUCCCGGGCCGGGACAGCGCUCCCGUUCCGGUCCCGCUGCGCGAUCGGUGCCAGGCACGGCUCCGGGCAAAGCAGCGCGGCCCCACAGAUGCCAUCUGUGUCUCAGGGCGUGGAUGGUAACCUCCGAGGUGGUGUAGAGAACCUGUUGUUUGCUGAAGCUGCCUUCCCAGGAUCAAGGACAGCUGUACAUGAAUCCCAUGUCCAUGACACCUUCUCUGAUGGUCACUGUCAUCAGUCCUGGGAACCAGCUGUGUGUGUGUGAGACACUUCAUUAUCCCAGUCCAUGCUGUCCGCACUUCCAGCCUGUUGCUCCUCUUCUUCGUAGAACCAUGAAAUGAGUCCAGAUCGCCUUACAGAUUUACUUAUAUUGUAAAUUUAUUUUAGCUGACGCCUCAAAUUCUCAUUUGCAAAGCUCGGCCUUUUAAAGUCGAAACUCUAAAGCUUUUAUUACAUCAAGACAAGGUUGUUCUGUUUGCAGAAUUCACUUAAUCUCUUGCUCAAGAUGCAGAUGAGAAGUGAAAGGAUAUAUAUUAUACAAAAGAUUAUCCUGACCCCUCUAGAUGAACAAGAUUUUAAGUCCUCGGUUUUGUUUUCCCAGGAAUAAGUCCAGUAUGUAGCUUGGAAUAUUAACCGUAUUACACUGGCUCUUGCAACAGUGAACAGUAUCAUUCAUUCUCUGCAAAGAACCUGUCAGACAAUCACCUGCUUCAGCCAAACUACAAUUUUUGAAAAUAAAAUUUCUAUGGUACUCUC
Non-coding RNA from Zonotrichia albicollis (white-throated sparrow), 753 nucleotides. The record is from RefSeq and is a predicted model, not a curated record. Lineage: Eukaryota; Metazoa; Chordata; Aves; Passeriformes; Passerellidae.